RNAcentral lists this ribosomal RNA (687 nucleotides) under Triticum aestivum (bread wheat). RNAcentral's name for it is "partial small subunit ribosomal RNA". The record is from RNAcentral. Lineage: Eukaryota; Viridiplantae; Streptophyta; Magnoliopsida; Poales; Poaceae.
AUGGUUGUCGUGGACAGGCUCACCAAAUCAGCGCACUUCAUUCCGCUUCGUCAUCCCUUCAAAGCCCCUCAGGUGGCCAAGGUCUUUUGGGAUCAGGUCGUCAAGCUGCACGGCAUUCCGAGCUCCAUCGUCUCCGACCGCGAUCGCGUCUUCACCAGCGCUCUCUGGCGCGAGCUCUUCGCCAGUGCGGGCACCAAGCUGCUCUUCUCCACGGCGUACUACCCCCAGACGGAUGGCCAGAGCGAACGCGUCAACCAGUGCAUGGAAAUGUACUUGCGUUGCGCCAUGCACGACGCGCCCCGGCAAUGGCGUCGAUGGCUACCAACCGCAGAAUUCUGGUACAACUCGUCGUUCCAUUCCUCGAUCAAAUGCUCCCCCUUCAAAGCUCUGUACGGCGGCGAGCCCAACCUGGGCGCCAUGGCACUCUGGGGCGACAAGACGGUGCCCAUGAUCGACGGCGAGCCUUGGGACUGGGGCGUGCACACGGCACGGCUGCGCGACCACAUUCUCCGUGCCCAGCACAGAUUCAAGAAGCAGGCGGAUCAGCACCGCACGGAGCGCUCCUUCGAGGUGGGCGACACUGUUCUCCUAAAGCUCCAACCCUACGCACAGUCGUCGGUGGCAAACAGGUCCUGUGCUAAGCUGGCGUACAAGUACUUCGGGCCCUUCUCGGUGCUCGACAGGAUC